This is a long non-coding RNA of Pezoporus flaviventris, 3188 nucleotides long. RefSeq lists it as uncharacterized. NCBI's taxonomy places the organism in Eukaryota, Metazoa, Chordata, Aves, Psittaciformes, Psittacidae. The record is from RefSeq and is a predicted model, not a curated record. The transcript is spliced from 3 exons.
GGCUGGGAAAGUUUCGGGGAGCGUUUCGGGGGCCGUGAGGGGAUCCCGCGGCUCAGCCCCGGCGCUCUGAGGGAGAGGAGGGCAAGGCUGCGGCUGUUCCACCGCAGGUCCGGGCGCCGGCCCUCUUCCCCGAAUAGUUUCAGCGGUCGCUGCGCUCUGAUACAAUGGCAUCAGUCCUCUCCUCAAGCUUGACUGUAAGGCAGCCUCCAGAAGCACCAUAUGGUCCCUCGUUCAGCUGCACACAAGUAAAACCCAGCAGUCUUGGGAACCAGACAGAUCCUCUGCCUCUUUCACCUGAAGCAGGAAAGCUCAAUAAGGAUGUUUGUGUUUUAUCCUGGUCUACUGUAGCCAAAUAUGGGGCAGGACAAUAGAAAAAAGAAUUCCAUAGAUAUUACCAUGUAAAAAGUCCUGAGGAUUUAUUUAUUUUCUUAGUAUAAAGAAAUUUUUCUAUAGACUUGAUACAGGUAUGUCCAAUGUAGAUUGUAGAAGGAGAAAAUGCCAGGUUUUAGUGAAGAACUUGGAUCUUUACUAAAAUAAAUAGGAGGGAUAAAUGUGAACUUUGAUUUACAAGGAUCAGAGGGAACUGUGGGCCCAAAAUGAAGAAUGAAAGAAGGAACUGAAAGAUGUAUUUGCAACGCACCCUCGUCAUAAUGAAAUGAAACACCUUUUUUUCUGAGCUCCAGUCUGACUUGAGCCCUAGUGACACUGAUAGUCUCCUAGUCCUUAACAAAAAAAAAUUACUCAGGGCCCAGCCUAAAUCUCUUAACUUACCGUGGUGAUCUUUGAGUUUGUAUCAUGAGCAUGCAGACCACCGAUACUGCUAAUUCUGAAGAAAGGCUUAAAAAGGAAGAAAAAACAUUAUUAAUAUUUUGCUAGGUUAGUGUUUAAUUCCUUGGUUUCCUUGGGAAAGAGUAAGCAUGAUUAUAUUAACAAAUGUAGGCCACUGACGUGAGAAAAAGAAGAGGCUGAAAUUAGUAUGUCAUUCUUAGUGCCCACAUUUUUCUAGAUGCACUAGUACUUGACACUUGUAUUCAAUUUAUUUCUGACAUUUCAGUAAAUUUUUUUUGGAAUUGUGGAUUAAAACUUCCCACCUCAACAUCAAGGAUUUUAUAUAAAACCAAUGAAUCUAAAUGCCUAAGUAUCAAUAGAAAAAUGAUCCCUUCUUCUCUUAUGUAAUUAAAUGUAUUGUAUUAAUGUGUGUAUAAUGCAGAAUCAAUAAAUAAUGAAUUACCACUGAUUGUAAUUGAAUGUUUUCAUAAUUUUAUUGUCAGCCAUGAUAAAUAAUCAGUACAUUUAUACUGCAUUAAAUUAAUUAGUGUGUCAUUUCUAUUACAUACAUCAGCAGUGAAGUAAUGCAGUGACAUCUGUUUCUAAUGUUUUAAAGAUGUGGUAUUCCUUAUUAAGUAAAAGGAAGAGUUAUUAGAGGUAUUUCCUGUGAUUGGCAGUUAUACUGGUACAGUCAAAGAGAUCAAAUAAUGGAACUUGCACUCUUGGCAAAUACUGCAUUUCAGCCCCUGAUGGCAGUGAGUAGCAAUGACUGGAGUGAAUUUUGCUGCUUCAGGCUUUCAGAAAAUCCUACCCACCUUUCUAGAGAAAGUAAGAGUGGAUCUUCUCUUCCUAAUACAGUUAGGGAAGAUUCUAACAUGCAAAAUAAUUAACAGUCUACAGAAGAACUGAGCAUCCACAUCCAUUUCUAUAUUGAUUUUUCUGCCUCAGUCCUCUGAAUGUAAAAAGGAAUUGACAAGGGCAAGAGUAGAAUAGGAAGAGUAAAAUAUACAGAAGGGAACACAGCAAGUAAACUUAAGUUAGACUGUGCCAGAAAGAGGAUUAUUUUUUAAAUGACUAGGUAUUAGAAAAUGAGUGAUCACCUGGGAGCAGGGUGAUGCGAAGUAAAAUACACUGAGCAACAAUUACGGAGUGUCGUAAAGGUCUGGGGGUCAUUAUUAAUGUUGUCUUUUCCAAGACAAUUAUGGACAUCCUUAAUUUUUCUGUACCAUUACACCGUCUUUAAAAAGAACAACUAGAAAAUCUAAUGUUAGGGCUUAUCUUACCAGAGAGUUCAUCAUCCAUAAAACAGCUUUAGAUAGAGCCUUGGGUGACAUGAUCUAGUGUGAGGCAUCCAUGCCCAUGGCAGGAGGUUGGAACUAGAUGAUCUUAAGGUCCUUUACAACCCUAACCAUUCUAUGAAUCUUAAUCGUAAUUUUUUCAUACUAUCAAUGUACAUCAUCAUUUUAAGCAAAACUAAAAAAAAAAAUCUUUUCAGUGCAAGUCUCAGAACUGGCUUUCAACCACUCACUGACUAUCUUUGCACAAAUUUGAGAGAGUGGUCUCUGGAGCAAACAUGUGCAUACAGCAAUUUGUCCACAUGGCUUGCCUUGAAUGCAGGAAACUCCCGCCUCACUUUAAAUCACCUGUCUGGGUAUGACUGACAGCUGCCUAAGUUACUGGCAGUAGCUAUACAUUUAUUACUCUGGAUCCUCUAACAUCAUGUUCCAGUUCUCUGUGAGUCUGCAUCUGUAGGAUUCCUCCCUGUGCAAUUUUUGGGUGUGAUGCUGAGCCUGUGCUUGGGACAGUCCUCAACAGCCACUGCCUUUGUGACAAGCUCUCCUGACCACUUACUAUGGAACCUGAGAAAACUAAAUCACAAAAAAUACUGUCUCAGACAAGGUCCCAUCUACUUUUCCUAUUAAUUAAAAUGUCACUUAAUUGUUUUAAGUGAUGUGCCCUUUAAAGCUUAGACACUGUCACUUUUUGUCUAGAUGAUGUGUAAUUACCUUCCUUCUUAAGGAAAGGAGUAUGUGGUAUAAAAAUGUGACCACUAGUUUUCAGGUUGUUCCAGUGAAAUAUAAGAAAACAAAACUAUGAUGAUUCUAAGAUGAAGUUGUUGCUAAUGAUUAGCUACUUCAAUCUGGUUUUUGAAUUUGAUUGAGGAUACAGUGCAACAAAAUCGCAAAGCCAGGACCUUACUAUAACAAGGCUGUAUUAUAUGAGGUACAAUGAAUUAAGGGUCAGUAUUGGCAUCUUUCCUUCUUCAGGAAGAAAAAAUAAUUCCAUUAGAUGUGUACUGAAGUUAAAAUGCACUUUAUAGCAAACUUCUAUGAACACAAUACUAUGUACUCAAAUAUAUUCAUUAAGUCUUUAUACUUGCUUGUUAAUACUCCCAGAGGAUCAAGAUAAGCCUUAUCUCU